Molecule: ribosomal RNA, 471 nt
Filed under: uncultured soil bacterium
Lineage: Bacteria
Description: bacterial SSU rRNA
Rfam family: Bacterial small subunit ribosomal RNA
Source: RNAcentral
AGGACGAACGCUGGCGGCGUGCUUAACACACGCAAGUCGAGCGGUAAGGCCUUUCGGGGUACACGAGCGGCGAACGGGUGAGUAACACGUGGGUGAUCUGCCCUGCACUUCGGGAUAAGCCUGGGAAACUGGGUCUAAUACCGGAUAUGACCUCAGGUUGCAUGACUUGGGGUGGAAAGAUUUAUCGGUGCAGGAUGGGCCCGCGGCCUAUCAGCUUGUUGGUGGGGUAAUGGCUCACCAUGGCUUCGACGGGUAGCCGGCCUGAGAGGGUGACCGGUCACACUGGGACUGAGACACGGCCCAGACUCCUACGGGAGGCAGCAGUGGGAAUAUUGGACAAUGGGCGAAGCCUGAUCCAGCAACGCCGCGUGAGGAUGGCGGCCUUCGGGUUGUAAACCUCUUUCAGUACCGACGAAGCGGAAGUGACGGUAGUACAGAAGAAGCACCGGCCAACUACGUGCCAGCAGCCGC